This 5640-nucleotide long non-coding RNA is filed under the name Homo sapiens (human). Its description in RNAcentral is "HSALNT0217531". Lineage: Eukaryota; Metazoa; Chordata; Mammalia; Primates; Hominidae. The record is from RNAcentral.
CACACAGUCCCCUGAUGCUAUAACAUCAUGGAUUUCUUUUGUCCAGUGAGAGGCCCAAAAGCUGCAGCAUAGACAAUAUCAUAGUGUAGAAGGUUCACUAGACCGUGAUCAUGGGCUACAUUCUCCGUACCAGCUUCAUAGCUCCAGUGAGAAAAUAAAUUCCUGCAUCCAGGAGAUGUGGAGUAAGAGAUACAGCUGCCCUUGACCAUAUUUCUUACUUCCGAGAAGAUCGUAGCAGUAAUUCAGAAUCUCAUCCAGGAUACCUCAUCACAGGCUGGAGUGCAGUGUCAUGAGCUUGGCUCACUACAGCCUCCAUCUUCUGUGCUUAAGGAUCCUUCCCUCUCAACCUCCAAGGUAGCUGAGACUACAGGUAUGUGCCACCAUGCUGGACUAAUUUAUUGUUGUUGUUGUUGUUUGUUAGAUUUUUGGUAGAGGCAAGGUUUCACCAUGUUGCCCAGGCCAGAGUCAAACUCCUGGGCUCAAGUGAUAUUUAUUUUGUUAUAGAGAUGGGGUCUUAAUGUGGUGCCCAGGCUAGUCUGGGAUUACAGGUGUGAGCCACUGUGCCUUGCCAAAAACUGCCAUUCUCAUCAUAUCGUACCAAGAGUACAAACUCAACAAGGGUACAAACUGUCAACCAGAGUAGACAUUCAUUAUUGGCAGAAUGUCUACAAAUUCCUUUAAACCUUCACCAUAAACAUGUGCCUACUCUCUUCCAAUUAUUUCAUGUGUAUUAAUUUAUUCAUUUAUACAUGCAUCUUUUAUUUAUAUCAUUAUCUAAAUAUGGAGAUUUAUUUUACAAUGCGUAUGUGCUAUUUUUUUUUUUUUGAGACAGAGCCUUUCUCUGUUGCCCAGGCUGGAGUGCAAUGGUGCGAUCUCAGCUCAUCGCAACCUCUGCCCCCUGGGUUCAAGCGAUUCUAGUGCCUCAGUUUCCUGACUGGCUGGGAUUACAGGCAUGAGACACUACACCUGGCUAAGUUUUGUGUUUUUAGUAGAGACAGGGUUUCACCAUGUUGGCCAGGUUGGUCUUAAACUCCAUACCUCAGAUGAUCCACCCUCCUCGGCCUCCCAAAGUGCUGGGAUUACAGGCAUGAGCCACCAUGCUUGGCCGCUAUUUUUUUUUUUAAUUGCACAAAUUGUUCCAGUGUUGGCUAUUGGAAGGUUUUUAAGUUGUCUCUUGUAUCACUUUGAAAUACCUCCAUAAUUAAAGUUUGAUGUUGUGUGGUUGGUUGGUUUUGUUGUUGUUUGGCAUUUUCUUUUGUUCAGUCACUAUUAUAUGCUCCAGUCUAUGAAUUUAAUUGUGCUCCAGGGUAAUUUGGUAAUUUUAUAAUUUCUACGAAUGUUUCCAACACCAUAUGACCUAAUCCAGCACCAUAUAAAUGGAUCCACUCAUUCUCUCAUUUGUAUGUAAUCUAGCACUCCCUGCAAGCAAGUUGAUGUUGUUAAUUUAAUCAUGCUACCUGAACAAGGUAUAUUGCUAUGUAGAAAAAUACAAGUUGAAACAGUCAAAAUACUGUGUAAUUCCAUUCAUAUGACUCUGUAGAAAAGGAAAAAGUGUAGUGAUAGUAGAGUUCAGUGGUAACAAGGGGCUUGGGAGAGAUAUAGGUGACAUCAGUGAACUACCGAAGAUUUCUUUUGGGCAGUGAAAUUCCUCUUUGAUACUGUAACGGUGGAUACAUCAUAAUGUUUUCCAAAUCCUGAAGAACUUUGUAACACAAAGAGUGUAGCUAAUUUAUGCAAAUUAAAAACCUUAUUUAGGAGGUCACAAGUUUGCCUUUUCACAGUAUUUUACCUUUUCCAACUUAUAUUUUUUAGCAAUAUGCUUUUUAGAUUUUUGAAGUACACCUCAUGGUUUUUAGAUUUGCCUUCACCUAAUUGUUGUAGGACAGGUGAGUCACACAAUUGGGGCUUAUCCUGAGAGGGUUAUUAGCUUUGUCCAGGAAAGAAUUUAAGGGCAAGUGGGUGAUGUUAGACUGCAAUAUUUUAUUGAAUGGUACUGCUCCUAGCAGAGCAGGGCUAACUCUUAAGCAGUGUGUUCAGAGUUGGCAACAUAUAGGCCUCCUGGCAACUGUGUUUAUAUGCAAUCAAACCCACUUUUAAUUAUAUGCAAAUUGAGGGGCAGAUCAAUGCAAAUUGAGGCAGGAAAGGGGCAGUGACUUCUAGGUUGUCUCCAUGGAAAGGGGCAGUAACUUCUGAGCUGUAGCCAUGGAAUUUGUAAACAGUUAUGUGGUUGGUAGGAGUGUCAUAUGAGUGACAAAUGAAGACUGCCAGGGAUCACAUUUACCACAAUGUACACGCUUCUGUCAGUUUUUUCCCUUUAUCCUGUCUGGAGCAGAUCUUAUUUUGGUCAUCAAGGUUGUGAAACCAGAAAACAAGUCCUUCCAGUCUCCUACCUCAUAAUGACAAAAGACAUUGAGCAUAAUUUCAUGUGAUUUUGGAUAUGACUAUGGCUUUCUUUUGAGAGUUGGCUAUUUAAGAUUUUGCCAUUUUUGAUUGGGAUAUUUGCCUUUUUAAUUUUGAGUUGUAAGACAUUGUAUAUUCUGGAUAAUAGACCAUUAUCACCUAUAAAAUUUGCAAUUUUCACAUAUUUUCUGCCAUUCUUUGGGUGCCUCUUUAUAUUUGAUGGUGGACUUUAAAUUGCAAAAGAUUUUAAUUCUAAUGAAGUUUAAUAUUUCUAUAUUUUCUUCUUUCCUUUGUGCUUUUCAGUGUCAUAUCUUAAAACAUUGUUUAACCAGAGACCACAAAGAUGUAUUCCUGUGUUCCUUUUUAUGGGUUGGCCCUGUUUAGCUCUUAUAUUUAGAUGGAUUAUCAUUUUGAGUCAAUUAUGUUUCUGGUAUGAGGCAAGAGUCUAACUUGCAUGUGGAUAUCCACUUGACCCACAAACAUUUGACAAGAAAAUAUUGCUUCAUACCUAAUUUAUUUGGCCACAGUAUAAAAGCAUUUCACCAUAAAUGUAGGGAUUCAUUUUUCAGUAUUAUAUUCUCUACUCCAUUGAUCAAUACAUAUAUCCCUAUACUAGUACCACAAAUCUUGAUUACUAUUACUUUGUAGUAAGUUUUGCAAUCAAGAAGCAUAUGUCUACUAUGCAAACCCUUUUUGUCCUUCUCAAGAGUGUUUUGGCUGCUCAUGAUCUAUAUUAUAUAUAAUUUUAGGAUAAACUUCUGAAUUUAGGGGAAGGUAAUGCCACCUGGUGUUUUGAGAGAAGUUGCAUUAAUUCUAUAGAUCCAUUUGGAAAAUAUUGCCAACCUAACAAUAUGCAUUCUGUAGUUUUUAGUGUACAUAUCUUAUACUUAAUUUGAUAAGGUUAUUCCUAAGUAUUUUUGAUGUGAUCUUAAUUGGAACGAUUUUCUGAGUUUUGUUUUUAGAUUGUUAAUUGCUAGUAUAGAGAAAUUUAAAAUAUUUUAUAUAUUUUAUAUGCUGCAAACUUCUUUGAACUCAUCUUUAAAUUCUAAACAUAUUUGAUAGAGUCCUUUGGACUUUUUAUACAUGAGAUCAUGUCAUUUGCAAACAGUCGGAGUUUGACUUCCUUUCCAUACUAGAAACGUUAUAUUUAUUUUUCUAAAUGAAUUGCCCUGUCUACAUUCUCCAGUACAAUGUUGCGAACAAGUGUCAACAGUGGAAAUAUUUGACUUCUUUCUAAUAUCAGAGAAAUUAGUGAACCUUUCAGAUUACUUAUGAUGAUAUGUGAGCUUUUCAUAGAUGCCCUUUGAAAUGAAGAAAGUUCUCUUAUCUGCCUAAUUUGCUGCAUGUUUUUAUAAUACUGAAUCUGGGAAUUUUCAAGUGCUUGUUGCACACCUUCUGAGACGAUUGUGUAGUUUUUAUUCUUUAUUAAUAUAGUGUAUGACAUUAAUUGUAUCAUAUGUUGAACCAAAUUUGCAUUCCUGAGGUAAAUACCUUUUGCCAUAGUUUAUAAUACUUUCUACAUGUUGCUGAUUUCAUUUGAUAAUAUCUCGCUGCUGAUUUUUGUCUCUGUAUUUAUAAGGCAUAUUGGUCUUCAUUCUCCUUAUUUGAAAUGUCUUUGUGUAGUUGUUCAAUCAGGGUAAACUAAUUCAUAGUAUACAAUGGGAAGUGAUCUAUUUUCUACUUCUUUAUUAUUAUUGUAUUGUUUUGAAAUAUUUUUGAUAAAUUAGUAUUAAUUUUAAGUGAUUUUAAUAACACAUCAAUGAGUUCCUGAUGAGGGCAGGGAGGUGAAUCCUAAGAACAAUCAUGUGAGUUUGGAAGGAGACCCUUCCCCAGCUGAGCCUCAGCCUGAGCCAUCCCCUACAUCUAGACCGAAGACCCAGAGAAACCGUGAGUAGUAUGUGUGUGGUUCUGAGCCACUAAGGUAUGUAGUAAUUUGUUAUGCACCAAGUAGUAAGUAAUAUACCUGACAGUAAUUGUUAGGUGGUAUUCUGGAUUAGGUCCUGGAAUAGAUAAGUAUAUGAUUAUUAGAAAACCUGGUAAAAUAUGAAGGAAGUUUGUAGAUCAGUUAAUAGUCUUGAAAAACAGUUAAAUUCUUAGUUUUCAUGAAUAUGCUAUGGUUACAAUAUAUAUUAACAUUCUAGUUAUCUGAAUGGUAUAUGAAACUGUCUGUACUUACCUAUGUGCAUUUAUGUAAAUCUGCAGUUAUUUCAAAAUAAAUAUGUUUUUUAAUAUUAUUAUUAUUUUUUUAAGAAAAGUAAGCAAGUAAAGACAUCAGCAAAAAACUUUUGCCUCCAGAUACAAGUGGGCAUGUAGGGAGAGAAUAGUAAACUGGCUUUUCUUUUCUUUUCUAGGCAACAUUCGAAACCCAGGUGCCACUCCUUCAGGAAGGUACCAUCAAGCUCCAAGGACUCAUCCUCUUUCUCCUUCCCCACUACCUAGUCAUUAGAGCGUCAGCAUCCACUUCCUGAAAGGAAGAUGCCUGUUUUUCACAUAUCCCAGAAAGCCUCAUUUUAGGACAGCAUUUAGCAGAGUGUAUUCAGGAUCCCACUAACCUUUUCGGAAGACAUGACUUCCAGAUGAUAUAAGGCAAGAAUAAGAAAUUUCAGUGACAGGGAACAGAAAUCAUAUUUCUGCAUUCAGGAUCAUGUUUUCUUGGCUCCAUCAGGAACUGUGCAGGACUGUGCACUCUGUUGAUACUCACAUGGUGGAAUUAUAUUGCCCUUGGCCAACCCUAAAGCCAUCAAGAUAGCAGAAUUAAUGAAGGAUCAUUAUUAAGUUUUUAAUGGGUCAAGAGAAAGUUACCACUGAGGUCUUCUCUACCUGGGCAACAAUUGACUCCUAACAACCACUAUAAGCUUGGAAGAUGAUCCCUCCCCAGCUGAUCCUUCAGGAAUUUCCACUGAAGUACCUCUGGUUGAAAAGGAGAACAGAGACUUUUUUCACAGCCACAGGACAAAAUUUGUUCAGAAUUAAAUGCUGAAAAAGGAGAACCUGACACCAUUAUUCAUAAUUUCACUGUAUAUGAAGAGCAACCCUAUACUCCAUACAAACAACAUAGACUGUGGAAUUAUGUUGUGAAAUGUAAAGAGAAGAUGAUUCCCAAAUUUAAAGGAAACUGGAGGUGUUCUGGAGAAACAAAUAGAGGCUGGAGUGCCGUGGCACAAUUAUGGUUCACCAGCCUCAACCUCCUGGGAUCAAGCAAUCGUCUCACCUCAGCCUCCUGAGUAGCUGGACUGCAGG